This is a long non-coding RNA of Fukomys damarensis (Damara mole-rat), 1133 nucleotides long. RefSeq lists it as uncharacterized. NCBI's taxonomy places the organism in Eukaryota, Metazoa, Chordata, Mammalia, Rodentia, Bathyergidae. The transcript has 3 exons. The record is from RefSeq and is a predicted model, not a curated record.
GGGACGGGGCAGGACGAGGCCUUCCGGAGAGAAGAGGCAGCUUCGGGGGACACCCCAGCGGGGCAUCGAGGAGGACGCGGACCCAAGCCGCUGGGCUCCGGGAUUUGGGGGCGGGGAGCGGCCACCCCCAGCCCCAGCUGCUUGCCUGCCUUCGCCAAAGUAUCAGCUGGCGCAGGAGGACAGAGGGGAGGACAGGGACAGAAGGCGGCAAGGCUGGCGGGGGAGGGGGCACAAAGGAAGGGACCCGCGAGGGGAGGGGCGCCACCUAAGGCUGCUGAGGCCCGCGGCCAGCGAUGAAGCCCCCGAGCUCCGGCGGCCGCCACGGCACCGCGGGGGACAGGGCACCCCGAACAGGGAAGGGUCCCGCCCCCCACACCCGAGGGGCAGCAGCGGUGGGGACAUUAAAGGGCAGGACUCUAAGACGCCAAAGUGCGGGUGGAGGCGGCAAGGGCCCCAGAGCAGGUGGGCCCCUCGUCCUUGGGACCCUGGGGGACCCUGCGGCUUUGUCUAGGUGCCCCGAGUCCACAGGGCUCAGCCCGGACGCCGCCGUCUCCGACGCCCCUUAACAGCUGCGCUGCCCUCGCUGAGGACCGGGGACCCCCGGCUCAGGACUGUGAGGAUGAGGCGACCUUGAAGUCGGUGGGACUCAAGCGGGAGCAAGCGUGAUGUGAGCCUUGCUGCCGGCCUUGCCCGGCCCCGGUCUGCCCUCUGCUGUCCGGGGAGGAGCCGAGGGACGCUCUCCGGCUUCGGAGACUACGCCGCGCCUGGCACCCCGCCCCCGCGGGGCAUCCAACCUCCAAGCUGGCGCCCCCACCUCUGCUCUGCCCUUUGGGGCAUGGAGACCCUAAGGGGAUGCGGAACGCCCAGCUAGAGGACACCACCGUCACCCAUGACUGCGACCGUGACCGCCUCCUGGAGAGUGGCUUUAAAUCUUUUCUGUGCCUCCAAGAGGACGCAGUCCCACACAUGACUGUGUUCCUCAUGGGGACAUCUGGGGCCCCGGCUCUGGAAGGAAUAACAAUAUGCCUGUCGUCCCAGCACUCCGGGAGGCUGAGGCAGGAGGGUUGCAAAAGCAAGCCCAGCCCAGGUGGCUUAGCGACUUGGUGAGACUCUGUCCUCAAAAUAAAGAAUGA